CAUGCGUGUCAACGUCUCCAAGCCACGGAGGAGACGUGGCGUACGGCUCAGUAACACGUGGCCAACCCAACCUUGAGACGGGAACAACCCCGGGAAACUGGGGACAACUCCAGAUAGGCGAGGAACCCUGGAACCGGGUCCUCACCCAAAAGACACCCCAACCACGCACAAGGUGUCGCUCAAGGACGGAGCCGCGACCGAUCAGGUAGUUGGUAGGGCAAAGGCCUACCAAGCCAAUAACCGGUACGGGCCGUGAGAGCGGGAGCCCGGAGAUGGGAACUGAGACAAGGUCCCAGGCCCUACGGGGCGCAGCAGUUGCGAAAACUCCGCAAUGCACGAAAGUGUGACGGGGCUACCCCGAGUGCCGUCCGCUGAGGAUGGCUUUUCCACGCCGUAAGGAAGCGUGGGAAUAAGGAGAGGGCAAGUCUGGUGUCAGCCGCCGCGGUAAUACCAGCUCUCCGAGUGGUAGGGAUGAUUAUUGGGCUUAAAGCGUCCGUAGCCGGCCUAACAAGUCUCCCGUCAAAUCCAACGAUCCAAUCGCUGGACCGCGGGAGAUACUGUCAGGCUAGGAGGCGGAAGAGGCCGACGGUACUCUUGGGGUAAGGGUGAAAUCUUAUAAUCCCAGGAGGACCACCAGUGGCGAAGGCUGUCGGCUAGCACGCGCUCGACGGUGAGGGACGAAAGCCUGGGGAGCGAACCGGAUUAGAUACCCGGGUAGUCCAAGCUGUAAACUAUGCGGGCUAGGUGUUGGGGUGGCUACGGGCCACCUCAGUGCCGCAGGGAAGCCGUUAAGCCCGCCGCCUGGGGAGUACGGCCGCAAGGCUGAAACUUAAAGGAAUUGGCGGGGGAGCACCACAAGGCGUGAAGCUUGCGGUUCAAUUGGAGUCAACGCCGGAAACCUUACCGGGGGCGACAGCAGAAUGAUGGCCAGAUUGAUGGUCUUGCUUGACGAGCUGAGAGGAGGUGCAUGGCCGUCGCCAGUUCGUGCCGUGAGGUGUCCUGUCAAGUCAGGUAACGAUCGAGACCCACAUCCCUUGUUGCCUCUGAGGAGAGUCUCCAAAGGGCAAGACUAGGGAGACCGCCGCCGAUAAGGCGGAGGAAGGAGUGGGCCACGGCAGGUCAGUAUGCCCCGAAUCUCCCGGGCCACACGCGAGCUGCAAUGGCAGGGACAGUGGGUUCCGACUCCGAGAGGAGAAGGUAAUCCCGAAACCCUGUCGUAGUUGGGAUCGAGGGCUGAAACCCGCCCUCGUGAAUCGUGGAAUGCCU
Molecule: ribosomal RNA, 1266 nt
Filed under: uncultured crenarchaeote
Lineage: Archaea; Thermoproteati; Thermoproteota
Description: bacterial SSU rRNA
Rfam family: Archaeal small subunit ribosomal RNA
Source: RNAcentral